This is a small nuclear RNA of Loxodonta africana (African savanna elephant), 102 nucleotides long. NCBI's taxonomy places the organism in Eukaryota, Metazoa, Chordata, Mammalia, Proboscidea, Elephantidae. The record is from Ensembl.
GUGCUCGCUGUGGCAGUACAUAUACUACAAUUGAAACAAUACAGAGAAGAUCAGCAUGAUCCCUGCACAAGGAUGACAGAAAUGCUGAGCGUUCAUAUUUUG